This 1273-nucleotide long non-coding RNA is filed under the name Homo sapiens (human). RNAcentral's name for it is "HSALNT0164945". Lineage: Eukaryota; Metazoa; Chordata; Mammalia; Primates; Hominidae. The record is from RNAcentral.
UGGUCUGGGGAUGUUUGCAUGAUUCUUCUGGGAAAAAGUCAAGGCCGGGGAUCUCUGGAGGAUUACAUGUCUUGGAGUUGGGGGUUACAGCCAAGUGUGCCUGAAUACUCAGGGCCCAAAAGCCCUGGCUGACAUCUGGCUUAUUGAUACAUGAAAAAUAUGGGCAAGAUAGCUCAUGAGGCUGACACAAGAUCAUCCCUCCCUUUCCAGGCGCCUCUAAAUACCUGAUGAAGAAAAAGCAAGGGAAGGAGGAGAGGAAGAGGGAGAGAGGGUUGAAGCCACACAGGCAAUGAGGCACCAGAGCAGUAUGUGUCUUAGGAGCUGGGUGGGAGUGGGAGUUGGGAAGGUCUCUGGCCCUGCAACUGGGCUCCCCAGAGAGAGCUGGCAGCCAAGGAAGGACUUAAGGUCAUCCACGUUUGGAAGCCAGAGCCUCUCUGCCUGUGGGAGAUGGAAUGAUUGGCUCCAAUUAUUUAGCCCUCUCUGCAUCGACAUGCCUGCCAUGGCCUCAUCGUGGGUGGAAUAUUUUUCCAUGCCCCUUCACUUUGGGCUCAGCUGUGUAACUGGCUUUGGACAACAUGCCAGAUGCCUGAAGAAAGAUCCAGAAAGAUGGUCAGAGCCUGGAGCCAGGCUAAAUCUGUAAGGAAGAAGUCUAAUUGGGACUGGAGACUUCUGGCCAACAUGGUGGACAAAGCUAACCUGUGGUGGGCGCACAGCAAUGUUGUGGCAGUAGCCAAUAGGUACCUUGCCCAUGAGCCCAGAGUCACAGUCAGAAGUGAGCUGACUACACCGAUGGAUCCCAGAGCGUGGUUGAUUCCUGAAUGCCUCCGUCUCAACUUGCAUGAAAUGUCCCGUGAAAUUCCUGGAGAGGCUUCCAGGCCAUAUGCUCGCAGAUCUGGUGCUCACAUGUCAGAAAUGAUGUGGCUCAUUCUUCCCUGCCUCUGCCACCAUAUGCAUGUGCCCCUAAUCUGACCAGCAGAUCAGCAGCUUGGGGGAGGACAUGCCCACGGCUGGCAGAAAGCUGCCUGGCAAAUCUUGACACCCUGGAAGAGAGAAGAUGGCGUCUACUCCCAUACUCCUCAGAUGCCGGAAACGACAGGCUCUGUGUACCCCUGUGGACCAGCCAGAUUCUUGAGCAGAUUUUCCUGAUCUGUUUACCAGGAAAAUGGUAUACCCAGCAGUUUCGGCAAUUCCAGAGUCCUUGGUGGCCUGGCAGUAAUGGUGUCUCUCCAGUCACCCAGAUGUCCCUAUACAGCUCUCUACAUCAGGGUUUGGC